This 94-nucleotide non-coding RNA is filed under the name Bacillus sp. (in: firmicutes). RNAcentral's name for it is "Bacillus sp. c-di-GMP sequence". It matches the Rfam family "c-di-GMP-I-GGC riboswitch aptamer". The record is from RNAcentral. Lineage: Bacteria; Bacillati; Bacillota; Bacilli; Caryophanales; Bacillaceae.
GUCAGACAAAGGCAAACCUGCUGAAAAGCAGGGACGCAAAGUCACGGGUCUAAGGUUGCCGUAUUGAGGCAAUGAUGAUCGCCGGACUGCCUGA